Non-coding RNA from Pelobates cultripes (western spadefoot toad), 215 nucleotides. NCBI's taxonomy places the organism in Eukaryota, Metazoa, Chordata, Amphibia, Anura, Pelobatidae. The record is from the annotation of a GenBank genome assembly.
GGAAUAGAAUGAAAUGUGAUCCCAAAAAUUGAGUGCUCACACCGUUUAGCUUAAUUGUGUCUUCCUAACCAUAUAAAUAUAGAUGGUAAUUAUUCAUUCAGUCGCAGGGAUACAAUUUAUCACCAAUUGAGCAAUGCUGUAAGAAUGCAGUAUUAAAGCAUUGCUAUUUAUAAUGGCAUCACUAACUUAUUUUGUUACUGUAAGGAUCUAUGUAG